Long non-coding RNA from Prionailurus viverrinus (fishing cat), 4034 nucleotides. RefSeq lists it as uncharacterized. The record is from RefSeq and is a predicted model, not a curated record. Lineage: Eukaryota; Metazoa; Chordata; Mammalia; Carnivora; Felidae. The transcript is spliced from 5 exons.
AGCUGCCGCCUUCCUCUCAUCCCAUCCCACACGUCCUCCAUCCGUUCAGAAUCCGAUGUCGGUCCCCGGCCCGUCUUUACGCCACCGCGGGAAGAGGAAAACUCCUCGAACCCGCUGUACCAGCGCCAAGCUGCCUGUCCCGAGGCUGCUUCCCCGACGCCCAGGGCGCGGGACGCCAGCUAGAAUUCCCGACUCCGAAGGAACCUCCGCCUCUGCCUCGCUGGGCUCUGACCACGCCCCUUCCUAAGCCCCGCCCAGGGCUUGCGGAGAGGUUUCCGUGGCGACAGUAAACAACACUCAAGAGCUGCGGGAGCCACCGCAGCCCUGCUCCCCCAACCCACGCUCCUGCAAAUAAGGUGAUCGAGAAUGACAGCGAAGUUGUUAUGAACUGAAACCGGGACACAUGGGGGCCCAGGUGGGGGCCAGGCCUGGGAGGGCCCGCCUGGGGGUCCAGGACACGUGGGCUGUGGUGCCAGGGUCUGCAACCCCCGGAAGAGGCAGCAGCAACUGGAGAACCAGGGAUUGAGAUCUAAGGGAGCAGACGUGCAGGUGGAGCCGGAUGUUGCGUGGGCCCAGGCAGCAGAGGUGGGAUAAGACACCGGGAGCAAGAGGGACUCGUUCAAGCAAGACCUUGUGGUGUUUUCCUAGGAAGGAGCAGGCAACCUGCCCGGCCGGGGGCUCUCCCAGGCUAGGAGUAUGAGCGGCGGACAAGACCUGAUGUGACAGUGACCGCGCAGUAGCAUUUAAAACUCUGGACGGGACAGGGGCGCCUGGGUGGCUCAGUCGCUUAAGCGUCCAACUUCAGCUCAGGAAAAAAUCCAUAGGCAUGGAAAGAAGCGGGAAGAUAUUACCCAUAAUCAAGGGGAAAAUCUCUCAGGAGAAGCAGAUCGCUAAGUGGCAGAGAUGAGGCAGUUAAUAGACAAAGACACAGAAACAGUUAUAAAUAUCCUCUGUGUACUCAAGAAUGCAGAGGAUCGGGAGUGAAAAAGAAGAUACUUUAAAAAGAAAGACUAGAUGGGAUUUACAGCAGAGUGGAUAUUAGAGAGUAAAGAUCAGAGAAGGCAAAUACACAGACGGGAGAAAAGAACAUCAAGGACUUGUCGGACAAUAGCAAAUGGUCCAGCGUUCAUGUCACUGAAGUCCCAGAAUGAGAAGAGGCAGGAAAAACUUCAAAGAAUAAUGUCCUGAAAUAUUCUGAAUUUGACAGAAACCAACAGAUCGAGGUUCAGUGAACCUGAAGCCACAAGGAAACAUAAAGAAAACCACAUCAAGGCACGUCCGAUUAAUAAUUACUUUAAAUGUAAAUGGCCUAAAGACUGCAAACAAAAGGCAGGUAUUAUCAGACUGGGUAAAAAAGCAAGACCCAAAAUAUGCCCUCUAUAAGAACCACGCUUUAAAUAUAAAGACACGGCUGGUGAAAAGUGCGAGAAUGAAAGAGAUAUACCAGCCAAGCACUCCAUAAUACACACAUGAAGUAGCUGUAUCAGUAUCAGACAGAGAAGACCGCAAAAGGACUAUUAGCAGGGUGAUAGGGAAACAUUUCAUAAUAUGCUCCAUUCAGGGGAGGACAGGACAUUCCUGAAUAUGCACGCACGUAAAUAACAGGACUUCAAAAUGCGUGAGGCAGAAACUGACAGAAUUGCCAGGGGAAGUAGACCACCAUUUAUGCGCAUCCUAUUUAGAAUAUAUUUAUAAAUAAUCCACCAUUAUAGUUAGAAAUGUUCACAUCCCUCUCUCAGUAGUUGAUAACUGUAGAUAAAAUCGGUAGGGACACAGAAGGUUUAGCAAUGCUGUAAACAAUGUUGACCUAAUUACCAUUUUUUUUAAAAGACUCCACCCAAAAGCAAGAGUUCUCAACGGUUCCUCUUUCUCUGUGGUUCCCUCCCUGGCUGAGGAACAGCAUUCUUACUCUCUCCUGAUUCCCGAGUAAACCCGCAGGGGACAUGCUUGCUGUGCACGUGAGAACCUACCGUAUUCUGUGCUCCAAUGGAGUGUUUGUGGACCUCCCUGGACAAAAGGCUGACCCGGCGACCCUGUGCCUCCUGAAAGAAAGGGGGAAUCGCAGAGUGGCAGUCUCAGACCAUGCUGGAAAAGCACCCAGCUGAGACAGAUCCAUGCACCACUCUGGGGCUUUGGGAUUUAGUAUCCUGGUUUAACUGGGGAUAUAGAACUGAUAAAAAUACCUUACCGAAAAGGUAAGCCAGGGCCAUGUGGAAAACCAGAUCCUUCGUCAAGGGCUCAGCUGGAGAAAAUCAAACACGUUAUUGAAAAAAAUCAGAAAACAAGCCAUCAUUUUUUCAAAGGGACACUCACUCUGUCAUAUUCCCAUACCUCCAGCAAGGAGGGAAGGUGACCUUGAGAUAGAGGGUUGGCCCCUGUAGGGCUUUGUACCAGAUCUGAGAGAGGUGAAUGAGUCUGUCGUUUCAUUAAGCUCCAUGGUCCCCCUGCAACUUUUCUGACUUUGAUUCUGUCGCCUACAGUUUUUCUCUACAUUCUGCUGUGUUUUUUUCUUUCUUCUGUUCCUCUAGCUAAUGAGUUCCAAUUCCCAUUUGCUUUUACCUUUGAAGGAGUCCAGUGUUCAGAGCAAAAUGUUCCUCAGGAUUUGGGGGACUCCUACUGUUUUGUCUAGCCCAUUUAGGGAAAUCUGUCUCGCCGAGCUAUCUAUAAUUAUUCGGUAUGGGGAUGAUUUGCUGGUAGCUUCAGAAACUGAAGUGUAAUGCAGAAGUGAUACUUGGGCUUCUCACCAUUCCUCACCUGGCGGGGACAUACGGCCUCACUAGACAAACUGCAAUAUUGCCAAGCUGGGGUCACAUAUUUAGGGAAUUUGUCGUGCAAGUCCACAAAGUGUUAGAAUGCCGGAGUUAGCCAAUUUCUCAGAUGAAAUAGCCAACAGCAACAACAACAACAACAACAAAGCAACAAUUUGGGGGACAAGUGACAUAUUCUCCACGGUGGAUUCCAGCUUUUUCAAGAGCGGGCAAAUCCUCUGAUAGACCAACCGACUGAUAAUACUCUAGACCCUUGUGUCGGAUCCCUAGAAUCCGCAGGAAGCUUUUGAACCAUUGAAAUUGGUCACGGUCUCUCCCCACGCUGUGAGGAUUCCAAAUUUUGAAAAAGCUUUCCACGUGAUUUACCAUGGAAACAAAGACACUGACUGCUGGCAGAAUUGAGCUCUGAAGCUGGCAUUUGACUCUAGACCGAUAGCAUUAUUUCUCAGUUCUUCUGGAUGCCUCCACGCCGUGGUGGUAGCAGCCACACUUAUGCAAAGAGCUCAAGCCUUUCUUUGGAUCAUUUGACUUCUGUGUAUGUCCUGGACCGUCUUUUAAGUGCAGAAGCACUGCGGGUGCACGAUCAGACCAGUAAUGUGUCAUCAACAAAAUCAUCUGAGUCAAACAUCUGAGAGGAAUUUUAAAGGCACUAGACUCUUACCAAUGACGACCAAACAGGUGACCUUAUCCAAAAUGUAUCAGAGACGUGCUGUCUGUCGGCAGAAUUCUUUUCGGGCCACUGCCAAGGAUUUGCAGGUGACCUGACGUCCGCUGUCAUUCAGGAGGCAUGCAAAUCAUGCUGGGAUCUGCCCUGUCCCCUCAGCCCUGAAGGCAAAUGGAGUGGAUGAAUCCAACACUGCAAACUUCAUUUAGAAGUCUAUAGCAGGGCCUGGGAGCCAUCUCUUUUCAAUGUCAACAUCAAGGAAGACAAUGCCCCAUCGCCCUGUCACUGUGGGAAUCUAGCUGAGGCAUCUCAACUACCUGCUCGUCGUAGAGGUACAAGAAUUUUCUUUUCUUUCUUUCUUUUUUUUUCCCAGAUAGAGGCCAUUAACUCUCACAGAUGGCCACCCCAAUGACCAGGGGAAUGCAGAGUGAACUCUGAAAGCACGUAGAGUGAGCAGGACUGUUGAGUCUCCUCACCCGACAAGUGCUCAUACCUGGGAACAUGCAAACAGGGGUUGUGUCUGCUUGGCUUAUAGGGAAGCAGGAUGGGGAGGGUGCCUGGCUGGCUCAGUUGGUAGAGCAUGUGACCCUCGAUUUGUAAGU